AGUGCAGACGAUGACCUCAGAUCGACUCAUGGUAGAUUGUCGAACAUUCCAUCAGGUCACGAUGCUUUCUAGCGGACCAAAAUAGAACAGGAGAAGACUAAUUGCGCUAAUAAUGCUUUCGCUGGAUACUACACGUUUCCCUAAGUUUCAUUGAUGUGCUGGAUUUACAGCCUCGGCGAACCACCCCCUCCUUUUUUUUUACCCCCUGUCUGACGUACAUACAGUGACGCCAUCCUCUUUAGGAGUGGAAAUACCAUAUUAUAACAUGGAGCCACUGCGUGUCCUUGUCUGAGCACGGUGUGAUGCUGAGGAAAGAACAUGCACUCUCUGACCAGAUAGAGGAGACGACAUCGACUCUGACCAGAUAACAACUGACGACAUCAAACUGUAUUUCACUCAUAAAUAAGCCGAUGUAGAGGGCUUCCAGUUAAGACAUUUUCUGUACUAUGCUGUAGUGCUGAAAUUGGCUCCUUGAGUUCGCAAGUAAAAAACGAACUUGAAGAUA
Molecule: long non-coding RNA, 505 nt
Organism: Perca fluviatilis (European perch)
Lineage: Eukaryota; Metazoa; Chordata; Actinopteri; Perciformes; Percidae
Exons: 2
Source: RefSeq, a predicted model, not a curated record